Long non-coding RNA from Homo sapiens (human), 1263 nucleotides. The record is from Ensembl. NCBI's taxonomy places the organism in Eukaryota, Metazoa, Chordata, Mammalia, Primates, Hominidae.
GGCCCAGUUCCCGUUCCUUUCCGCGGCCGACUGCGGUCUUGAGGGUGCUGGACUGCCGCGGGGUGCGUGGCGCUCGGGGGCGCCGGCUGACGGCGGCCUGGAGGGCGUCCUCGGCGGUGUCUGGACGCGCGCUUUGCCUCUUCUCUGCGACAGAUGCGCCAGAGUUUUAAGUUAACCCCCAGGUCUCACGUAUCCUAAGUGAUCUACCUAUAACCUAGAUGCUGCUUUACUUUUUCUAAGGGACUUUGAAGCUCUUCGUAAAACACCAGGGAAGAUAAAGCUCUAGGUGCUUUGUGAUGGUUUGAUUUUUUAAAUUUAUGUUUUGCAGUGUCCGAUUUUUACCCCUGCCUUUGCUGGGGCUAUCCAUGUAUAUGGAUGUAUGUGUAUAUUUCUCUUUGCUUUCUGCAUGGUACAUGUGUGCGUACGUAGAUGGACACGCGAUGAAAAGUCAUGGAGAGCUUGCCUCUUGCUCUCCUCCAGGACUCCCUGGCUCUAGUCUUGGGAAAAUCCGACCUUCUUAUGGCUGCCUUAUCUGUAAAUUAGAAAUAAGCCUUUCCUAAUAAGACUUAUUUCUGUAAAUAAGCCUUACCUAUCUUCAGGCCCAGGAUAAAUUACAGCUAUGGAAAAAAAUACUGCUUAGGAGAAUCACCUGGAACCAAGUUCUAAACAGAAUAUGUGUAUUUCUUUCUUUUUGUACUAUAAAAGUAACCAAAUAGCCAGAAUAAGCCAGCCAUUUGUUAAAACCCCAUGAGUAUGGGAAAUUUUUCUAGCUAGAGAGCUUUGUUUUUUCCCAGUGGGACUUUACCUUGUAGUUUUCAUGCUUAAAAUUUUGUGAGGAGAAGAAAGAAUUUGAAAGAUCAUAAAAGACAGCAACUCUUUAAAAGCUGUAAAUUUAAAAGUUAUCUAUUAGAGAAAACCUAUCACUACUGCCAAAGGGCGUUUAGCAGUUGGAUACCUCAGGUUCAACAGGAGGACCAUUAUUCAGAGUUUAAUCAGAUUUUUAAAAUUUGAAUGGGACUUCAUUUAGUAAAACUAUUCAUGGUGUUCUGGCUUUCUCUUUGCAUAAAUGUGGUCAAGAAUGUGUGUUUAGCUUCACUAUGGCCAGCAAACAAUGAUGCUGUAUCUUAUAGAUUCCCCUCUCCAACAACAUAUUUCGCUGGCAUAUUUUAUUCUCAUAGCCAUUCCUAUAGUGUAGAGAUUUUCGACAAUCCUUGUCUGCCCAGAGCAACAUUACUUAUUCAAUAAAUUGAGUUUAAAUUGCAA